UACGUAGGAUGCAAGCGUUGUCCGGAUUUAUUGGGCGUAAAGCGAACGUAGGCGGCUUCUUAAGUUUGGUCUUAAAGACCGGGGCUCAACCCCGGGAAUGGACUGAAUACUGGGAGGCUAGAGGAUGUCAGAGGAAAGUGGAAUUCCCGGUGUAGCGGUGAAAUGCGCAGAUAUCGGGAAGAACACCCGUGGCUAAGGCGGCUCUCUAGUACGGUACUGACGCUGAGACGCGAAAGCGUGGGGAGCGAACAGG
This 253-nucleotide ribosomal RNA is filed under the name uncultured bacterium. Its description in RNAcentral is "partial 16S ribosomal RNA". It matches the Rfam family "Bacterial small subunit ribosomal RNA", at positions 524 to 776 of the family's 1533-position model. The record is from RNAcentral.